Molecule: ribosomal RNA, 478 nt
Filed under: uncultured bacterium
Lineage: Bacteria
Description: partial 16S ribosomal RNA
Rfam family: Bacterial small subunit ribosomal RNA
Source: RNAcentral
GACGAACGCUGGCGGCGUGCUUAACACAUGCAAGUCGAGCGAUGAAGCUCCUUCGGGAGCGGAUUAGCGGCGGACGGGUGAGUAACACGUGGGUAACCUGCCUCAUAGAGGGGGAUAGCCUUUCGAAAGGAAGAUUAAUACCGCAUAAGAUUGUAGUGCCGCAUGGCAUAGCAAUUAAAGGAGUAAUCCGCUAUGAGAUGGACCCGCGUCGCAUUAGCUAGUUGGUGAGGUAACGGCUCACCAAGGCGACGAUGCGUAGCCGACCUGAGAGGGUGAUCGGCCACAUUGGGACUGAGACACGGCCCAGACUCCUACGGGAGGCAGCAGUGGGGAAUAUUGCACAAUGGGGGAAACCCUGAUGCAGCAACGCCGCGUGAGUGAUGACGGUCUUCGGAUUGUAAAGCUCUGUUUUCAGGGACGAUAAUGACGGUACCUGAGGAGGAAGCCACGGCUAACUACGUGCCAGCAGCCGCCGUAA